RNAcentral lists this ribosomal RNA (501 nucleotides) under Clostridioides difficile. RNAcentral's name for it is "bacterial LSU rRNA". It matches the Rfam family "Bacterial large subunit ribosomal RNA", at positions 1822 to 2321 of the family's 2925-position model. Lineage: Bacteria; Bacillati; Bacillota; Clostridia; Peptostreptococcales; Peptostreptococcaceae. The record is from RNAcentral.
UCUGCUAAGUCGCAAGACGAUGUAUAGGAGCUGACGCCUGCCCGGUGCUGGAAGGUUAAGGGGAUCUGUUAGAGCAAUCGAAGCAGUGAACUUAAGCCCCAGUAAACGGCGGCCGUAACUAUAACGGUCCUAAGGUAGCGAAAUUCCUUGUCGGGUAAGUUCCGACCCGCACGAAAGGCGUAACGAUUUGGGCACUGUCUCAACAACAGACUCGGUGAAAUUGUAAUUCCGGUGAAGAUGCCGGAUACCUGCGACAGGACGGAAAGACCCCAUGGAGCUUUACUGUAGCUUGACAUUGGGUCUUGGUACUACAUGUACAGGAUAGGUGGGAGGCUUUGAAACCAGGACGCCAGUUUUGGCGGAGCCAUCCUUGGGAUACCACCCUUGUAGUACUGGGACUCUAACCAUAGGCCAUGAAUCUGGUCUUGGGACACUGUCAGGUGGGCAGUUUGACUGGGGCGGUCGCCUCCCAAAAGGUAACGGAGGCGCUCAAAGGUUCUC